This 464-nucleotide ribosomal RNA is filed under the name uncultured Klebsiella sp. Its description in RNAcentral is "bacterial SSU rRNA". It matches the Rfam family "Bacterial small subunit ribosomal RNA", at positions 338 to 795 of the family's 1533-position model. Lineage: Bacteria; Pseudomonadati; Pseudomonadota; Gammaproteobacteria; Enterobacterales; Enterobacteriaceae. The record is from RNAcentral.
CCUACGGGGGGCUGCAGUGGGGAAUAUUGCACAAUGGGCGCAAGCCUGAUGCAGCCAUGCCGCGUGUGUGAAGAAGGCCUUCGGGUUGUAAAGCACUUUCAGCGGGGAGGAAGGCGGUGAGGUUAAUAACCUCAUCGAUUGACGUUACCCGCAGAAGAAGCACCGGCUAACUCCGUGCCAGCAGCCGCGGUAAUACGGAGGGUGCAAGCGUUAAUCGGAAUUACUGGGCGUAAAGCGCACGCAGGCGGUCUGUCAAGUCGGAUGUGAAAUCCCCGGGCUCAACCUGGGAACUGCAUUCGAAACUGGCAGGCUAGAGUCUUGUAGAGGGGGGUAGAAUUCCAGGUGUAGCGGUGAAAUGCGUAGAGAUCUGGAGGAAUACCGGUGGCGAAGGCGGCCCCCUGGACAAAGACUGACGCUCAGGUGCGAAAGCGUGGGGAGCAAACAGGAUUAGUACCCUAGUAGUC